CUCGCAAGUGGGCGGCGACCGCGCGUUACACACGGAAAGAGGCCUCUGCGGCGCCGAGGACGCCUCGCGAGAGACGGCCCCUGGCUUCCAGGCGGGGAAGUGUGAUGGGGCCAAGGUCCUGGGGGCGGAAGGACAGAGCCGUCGUGGCCUCCCUCUCUGCAGAGUGGCAGGGUCACCCCUCCUCGGUGCUACACUCGGCAGACGCGCGCUAAGGGUCCGCUUCCUUGGCCGGGAAAGGCCUUCCGGCGCCUUUCGCGCGAUAGGAAAACAAGGCUGAGAAGCUAAUGAGUACUUUGCAAAGCUAACAACAGUUCCUUCUUUGAGACUUAACAGAGUUUUGAGAAAUGAUCAAGGCCAAAUGACUUGAAGCCGACCUUGGUCACCAGCCAAGUCCACUGGAGCUCUACAAAGUGAAAGAAUGCAAAAGACUUUGCAGAAGAGUCGGUUCUACUCCAGAGCAAAUAAAAAUCUUGCAGGGUCCUGAGCUAAUAGUGAAAGUGAGAACAGAAACUAGACGAGACCUUGGCGAGAUCUUGUACCAGAGUCAUAGACACGGACACCUUGUAGCUCACUUUUUCUCUCCUGCUUUUCACCUCCCACUUCCACUCCCUCAAUCCCUCCUUUAAAAACCCCUCAGUAAAUCCAAAUCUCUGAGAUGGAAUAGCCUACCAUCUCCUUCAGCUGAAUACAUCUGCUUUUCUAACACCAA
Molecule: long non-coding RNA, 709 nt
Organism: Cynocephalus volans (Philippine flying lemur)
Lineage: Eukaryota; Metazoa; Chordata; Mammalia; Dermoptera; Cynocephalidae
Exons: 2
Source: RefSeq, a predicted model, not a curated record